UACGUAGGCAGCGAGCGUUGUUCGGAGUUACUGGGCGUAAAGGGUGUGUAGGCGGUUUUCUAAGUUUGGUGUGAAAUCUCCCGGCUUAACCGGGAGGGUGCGCCGAAAACUGGGAGACUAGAGUGCGGGAUGGGAGAGUAGAAUUCCUGGUGUAGCGGUGAAAUGCGUAGAUAUCAGGAGGAAUACCGGUGGUGUAGACGGCUCUCUGGACCGCAACUGACGCUGAGACACGAAAGCGUGGGUAGCAAACAGG
RNAcentral lists this ribosomal RNA (253 nucleotides) under uncultured bacterium. RNAcentral's name for it is "partial 16S ribosomal RNA". It matches the Rfam family "Bacterial small subunit ribosomal RNA", at positions 524 to 776 of the family's 1533-position model. The record is from RNAcentral.